RNAcentral lists this long non-coding RNA (254 nucleotides) under Hordeum vulgare. RNAcentral's name for it is "long non-coding RNA (HVUL_LNC020011)". Lineage: Eukaryota; Viridiplantae; Streptophyta; Magnoliopsida; Poales; Poaceae. The record is from RNAcentral.
AUUCUUUGUCCACGAAGGAAAGGAGAAAAGCUCAACCAUUGAGCGUGUGCUCAGAUUGUUUGAGUACAACAAUCGCUUGAAUCAAGUGGGAGUUAAUCUUCCAGAUAAGAUAGUGAUGGUUCUCCAAAGUCACUGCCACCAAGCUGUGAGAGCUUCGUGAUGAACUAUAAUAUAUCAAGGAUAGAUACAAUGAUCCUUGAGCGAUUCGCGAUGUUUGACACUGCGAAAGUAGAAUCAAGAAGGAGCAUCAAUAG